UUUGGUUUGUCAAUAAUAAAGCACGUUACUUUACAAAACAUUGUUGCUCAUGACUUUCAGUACGACCUACAUAAUAGAAUGCUGCAUAGUAAAUAUUUGUGUGACCUGAACAGACUGACUGUGGAUCACUUUCUUCAGUGCAGUAUUGAGCUGGUGAAGAUGAAUGUGUAUCAGAUUUUCGAUUUUCAUUAUAUUCUGUUAAGCAUUGAACUGGCAAAGAUGAAUAGAUAUCAGAUUUCACUAUUUUCUUCAAGACAUCUUAUUUUUGCUGUACUAUUUUAAUUAGUAUUGAACUGGUGAAGAUGAAUAUCAGUGGGAUGGUGUUGUGACAGCAUAUGUUUUUGUAGGUUGUGUUCUCGGUAUUGGUGGCAAACAUUUUGCAUGAUUUGAUUUGCUUACAUGUACAGAUGGCAGCAGUAAUGCAUUCAUGACGUCAGGGCAGCUAAAUCAAAAGCCAAUAACAUUGAGUUGCCAAAUUGUGGUGGAGAAUUUGUUAGCAAGUAAGGUAAUGAUGUCGGAAUUAGUAUCAUGAAAUGCAAGACUUUGCUAGUGGAUGGCACUCAGUAGUCAACAUGUGGCAAAAUUGAUCCUUUGCCUAAGCCUUUUUGGUAUUUAGAAUAAUUUUUAUACAAAAGAAACUGGUCCGUGGACAGGUGAAGCAUGGAUCGAUAGUGAUUUCUAUUUUGUGGUGGUAGACCUCGGUAGGGUUUAGAGACCAUCUGAUGUGUAAUCGGAUGGGAGUCAAGUUUGUGAAUUAGUUAAACCAAAUUUCGUAAAUGUUUGGAGUAUGUAUUAUCAGUAUUAAGUUUUAAAAAUGUGCCAGUAUAAGAUUUUGCAAGUAAAUGAACAGUUAUUAUGCAAUGCUGAGAAAACUGUAAUGUUCACAUUUUCAUGUUUAUGGUCUGUUUAGGUCCUAAGGUUACAGAAUAAGGUAAGGAAUCCUACCCGGUUGGACUUCCUGGGCCACGGUUUAGUUAUCCUUCCAGUACCAAGGAAAUGGAAUUUGUUUAUCAAACAGCAUGGUUUGAAGAAACUGGGCCUGCAGACAGUGUUCAAAAUAUCUAGUGAAAAGAUUAUCCAAAAGAAGCACAGUAUAAUCUGUAGCUGGAGUAUAAUUAAUGAUCAUGUGUUAUAUGAUUGGUCGACAGUUCUGGUGAGGUGCCUGUGAAGAGACUGUUAUUGCAACUGUUCAGGGAGGACAUUUAUGGCAGAGUGGGCCUGUAAGAUGCAGAAGAUACCCUGCUUUUUGUAUAUGUUACAUGAAGACAUCCUGUGUGGAAGUAUAUUGGCAGUUUGGGAGCCGUAUCCGUGAAAAAAAUCUGUGUCAAAUUUGUGGGUGAACAAGGAUUGUGCAGCGUCUGCCUGUCCAGUUGUGUACCAUCUACAAGGAACCCCCAUACCACAUGUCAGAUCAUAGUUUGUACUGGAUGUGUGUAUAUGUGUGUGCACAUGCGCGUGCACCAGGGGCUUCCAAUAUAGUGCAAUCUCUGGAUCCAAGAAUUCCAAAAGAAUAGGAGGUAAACCAAGUUAACUUCUCUUCCAUUAUAUGAUAUAACUCCGUCCUAAGCGCAAACUAUAUAUUAUAGGUCUUUCUUUUUGCUCCUCUUUACACAU
Cryptotermes secundus is the source of this 1614-nucleotide long non-coding RNA. RefSeq lists it as uncharacterized. The record is from RefSeq and is a predicted model, not a curated record. The transcript is spliced from 3 exons. NCBI's taxonomy places the organism in Eukaryota, Metazoa, Arthropoda, Insecta, Blattodea, Kalotermitidae.